Molecule: ribosomal RNA, 253 nt
Filed under: uncultured bacterium
Lineage: Bacteria
Description: partial 16S ribosomal RNA
Rfam family: Bacterial small subunit ribosomal RNA
Source: RNAcentral
GACGGAGGAUGCAAGUGUUAUCCGGAAUCACUGGGCGUAAAGCGUCUGUAGGUGGUCAAAUAAGUCAACUGUUAAAUCUUGAGGCUCAACCUCAAAACCGCAGUCGAAACUAUUAGACUAGAGUAUAGUAGGGGUAAAGGGAAUUUCCAGUGGAGCGGUGAAAUGCGUAGAGAUUGGAAAGAACACCGAUGGCGAAGGCACUUUACUGGGCUAUUACUAACACUCAGAGACGAAAGCUAGGGUAGCAAACAGG